GACGAACUGUCCAAACGUUGUUCGGAAUCACUGGGCUUAAAGGGCGCGUAGGCGGUCAAUCAAGUCAGGGGUGAAAUCCUGCAGCUUAACUGUAGAAGUGCCUUUGAUACUGGUCGUCUCGAGGGAGGUAGGGGUGUGUGGAACUUCCAGUGGAGCGGUGAAAUGCGUUGAUAUUGGAAGGAACGCCGGAGGCGAAAGCGACGCACUGGACCUCUUCUGACGCUGAGGCGCGAAAGCUAGGGGAGCAAACGGG
RNAcentral lists this ribosomal RNA (253 nucleotides) under uncultured bacterium. Its description in RNAcentral is "partial 16S ribosomal RNA". It matches the Rfam family "Bacterial small subunit ribosomal RNA", at positions 524 to 776 of the family's 1533-position model. The record is from RNAcentral.